UGGGGAAUAUUGGACAAUGGGGGGAACCCUGAUCCAGCCAUGCCGCGUGUGUGAAGAAGGCCUUAUGGUUGUAAAGCACUUUAAGCGAGGAGGAGGGUACUGGUAUUAAUACUACCAGCUACUGGACGUUACUCGCAGAAUAAGCACCGGCUAACUCUGUGCCAGCAGCCGCGGUAAUACAGAGGGUGCGAGCGUUAAUCGGAUUUACUGGGCGUAAAGCGUGCGUAGGCGGCUAAUUGAGUCGGAUGUGAAAGCCCCGGGCUCAACCUGGGAACUGCAUCCAAAACUGGCGAGCUAGAGUAGGGCAGAGGGUGGUGGAAUUUCCUGUGUAGCGGUGAAAUGCGUAGAUAUAGGAAGGAACACCAGUGGCGAAGGCGACCACCUGGGCUCAUACUGACACUGAGGUGCGAAAGCGUGGGGAGCAAACAGG
RNAcentral lists this ribosomal RNA (430 nucleotides) under Pseudomonadota bacterium. RNAcentral describes it as "Proteobacteria bacterium partial 16S ribosomal RNA". It matches the Rfam family "Bacterial small subunit ribosomal RNA", at positions 355 to 776 of the family's 1533-position model. Lineage: Bacteria; Pseudomonadati; Pseudomonadota. The record is from RNAcentral.